Molecule: ribosomal RNA, 418 nt
Filed under: uncultured bacterium
Lineage: Bacteria
Description: bacterial SSU rRNA
Rfam family: Bacterial small subunit ribosomal RNA
Source: RNAcentral
UGGGGAAUAUUGCACAAUGGGGGAAAGCCCUGAUGCAGCAACGCCGCGUGAAGGAAGACGGUUUUCGGAUUGUAAACUUCUUUUCUUAGUGAAGAAACAAAUGACGGUAGCUAAGGAAUAAGCAUCGGCUAACUACGUGCCAGCAGCCGCGGUAAUACGUAGGAUGCGAGCGUUAUCCGGAAUUACUGGGUGUAAAGGGAGCGCAGGCGGGACUGCAAGUUGGAUGUGAAAUGCCGCAGCUUAACUGCGGAGCUGCAUCCAAAACUGUAGUUCUUGAGUGGAGUAGAGGCAAGCGGAAUUCCGAGUGUAGCGGUGAAAUGCGUAGAUAUUCGGAGGAACACCAGUGGCGAAGGCGGCUUGCUGGGCUCUAACUGACGCUGAGGCUCGAAAGCGUGGGGAGCAAACAGGAUUAGAUACC